This 670-nucleotide long non-coding RNA is filed under the name Cyanistes caeruleus (blue tit). RNAcentral's name for it is "lncRNA (ENSCCEG00000003421.1)". The record is from RNAcentral. Lineage: Eukaryota; Metazoa; Chordata; Aves; Passeriformes; Paridae.
AUUCAAACAGCCAAACUAAAAUCUUUCUCCUAACAGUUCUGCUUCUGGUGACCUUAAACAUCUACAUUAUUCUAAAGGAAAUCUCCAAAGGAGUAUUUAAAACAGCAGCAUCUUGGGGCAGUCUCCAAGAAAGAUAGAAGGAACCUCAGCAUUCUCAAUUUCAGGUCUUCCUACUGACCUUGGCUUAGAUGGCUUCCCAAUGACUGGUAACAUGCAGGGCUGAUGUAGUAUUGAGCAACAGCUCUGCUUUCACAGCUUUAUCAAAGUGGUGUGACUAAGUGAACCGCCUUUUACCAGGGAUGAGCCCCAGUUGAAGAUGACAAGGUUCAGCUCCUCCAACUCUCAAUUACUUACAGCCCUAAAUUCGUUCCGCUCAAUUGUGAAAAGCCCCCGCAAUAUUCAACAGGAGGGGAAGAAUUCUGAUCUGUGGAAAGUCAUCAUGUUUGCAGAGAAAGCAAAUUUCCUCCUCUCCCAAUAUGCUGUAUAUAUCAGCCAAAACAAGACUCUUAUACCGAGUGCCAACUGGUAUGAAUUCCAAUCAUUUUAUGUAUUAUAUAUUAAUGUUAUAAAAAUAUGCCCCCCAAUUUUUUAUAACAAGAGAAUUUGUUGUGGCAAUAUCUGACACCACUUCUGAACUGACGUAGAUGUGACAGCCUAAUAAAAACUUGCC